Molecule: transfer RNA, 68 nt
Filed under: Trypodendron signatum
Lineage: Eukaryota; Metazoa; Arthropoda; Insecta; Coleoptera; Curculionidae
Description: tRNA-Ile
Source: RNAcentral
AAUAUGAUGCCUGAUAAAAGGAAUAUUUUGAUAGAAUAUUACAUGGAAAUCCUAAUUUCCUCAUAUUA